Molecule: ribosomal RNA, 468 nt
Filed under: uncultured bacterium
Lineage: Bacteria
Description: partial 16S ribosomal RNA
Rfam family: Bacterial small subunit ribosomal RNA
Source: RNAcentral
GACGAACGUUGGCGGCGUGCUUAACACAUGCAAGUCGAACGGAAAGGCCCUGCUUUUGUGGGGUGCUCGAGUGGCGAACGGGUGAGUAACACGUGAGUAACCUGCCCUUGACUUUGGGAUAACUUCAGGAAACUGGGGCUAAUACCGGAUAGGAGCUCCUGCUGCAUGGUGGGGGUUGGAAAGUUUCGGCGGUUGGGGAUGGACUCGCGGCUUAUCAGCUUGUUGGUGGGGUAGUGGCUUACCAAGGCUUUGACGGGUAGCCGGCCUGAGAGGGUGACCGGCCACAUUGGGACUGAGAUACGGCCCAGACUCCUACGGGAGGCAGCAGUGGGGAAUAUUGCACAAUGGGCGGAAGCCUGAUGCAGCGACGCCGCGUGCGGGAUGACAGCCUUCGGGUUGUAAACCGCUUUCGCCUGUGACGAAGCGUGAGUGACGGUAAUGGGUAAAGAAGCACCGGCUAACUACGUG